Lycium barbarum (goji berry) is the source of this 1393-nucleotide long non-coding RNA. RefSeq lists it as uncharacterized. Lineage: Eukaryota; Viridiplantae; Streptophyta; Magnoliopsida; Solanales; Solanaceae. The record is from RefSeq and is a predicted model, not a curated record. The transcript has 2 exons.
UAUACACAUUUCAUACGUUCUUCAUACAUAAAAUUUGAGCGAACUUUUUAAGCCUUGAGCAAGAUAUACACAUUUCAUACACAAAAAUUUGAGCGAUUAUUUUAAGUCUUGAAUAUUGUAUCAAAGUUGUAUACAAUGUUAUUGUAGUUGUAUUAAUUUUACAGAAAUCUAACAUGAACUUUAUACACGGAAAUGUGAGCGAAAUUUUAAGACAUGAGCAAGAUACAAAUUUCAUAUUGUUUUCAUACACACAAUUUUAAGCGAAUUUUUUAAGCCUUGAACGAGAUAUACACAUUUCAUACAUUUUUCAUACCGUUUUCAUACACUAAAUUUUGAGCAAACUUUUUAAGUCUUGAGCGAGAUAUACACAUUUCAUACGACUUUCAUACAUAAGUUUUUGAGUGAAAAAAAAAAUUAAUUUUUUUAAAAAAAAUUAUAAAAAAAAUAAAAAAAUAAUUAAAAAAAUAAUUUUAAAAAAAAUAUUUAAAAAAAAAAUAAAAAAUUUUAAAAAAUAUAAAGCAUGUUUUGUAUAGGAUUUGUAAUGUUAUGUUUUGUAAAUAUAAAAUAAUCGUCACGUUUCGUAAAUAUUUCUCCUUAAAAUGUAUAUAUAUAUGUCAAAGACCCUAAUUUUAAUUAAUUAUGAAAAAACUUGUGUGACUUUGAUACUAUCAAAAUUACCACGACGUACUUCCUAUUCUUUAUCUCAUACCUACCACUCGUUCAUCCCAUCCCUUUUCACAAGUCCAAUAAUGAAAGCACCAUCUCCAAUGGAUCUUUUUUUUUUCCCAUAGGAAUUCAUAUUCUUUCUGUGUCUAUGAAUCAGAUCAAGUCUUUUCUUUAGGAGAUGUGGUAAUUUUGCCAUCAAUUAACUAUCAAUCCUCGUAACAUGUUAAUUAGCCUAUCUCUUUUGAUCCAAAUGGCUCUUCUUCUGGCACAACAUCUAUCUUAGUCCUGGUUAUGUUGUCAAUUGUCUCUCGGAUAUGUAUACCUUGUGUCAUCUCUCAAUUGACAUCGGAUUUCAAUUGCCAACUAUGGCAUUCAAAAGAGAAAAAACAUUCGGUACUAAGAGAUACCAAGCCAAGAUUGACUCAGAUGUAUCUUCCCUCCAUAAUUGGAGGAAUGAAAUUGUUCCGAGCUUUAUGUUUUAGAUCUGCCAAAUCGAUUAGUGUUUACGUAAUGCUCAUGGAAUUAUAUACCUAGCUGCAAAGGAGCGUUACUUUGGCGUCGGAAGUGGAUCAAGACGACUUAUUUCGAUCGUAGAGAAGCACGGUGAGCUACUUGUCUACUUUUAAGCAUGUUCUUAGAAAAUUGACUUUUAUAUUUCCCGAUCGAUCAUUUAUAUUUGUUUGUCUUAGAAAGUAUACAUAUGUCAAUUUUAUGUAAUAUUAUAUUA